AUUGAACGCUGGCGGCAGGCCUAACACAUGCAAGUCGAGCGAGCGGCGGACGGGUGAGUAAUGUCUGGGAAACUGCCUGAUGGAGGGGGAUAACUACUGGAAACGGUAGCUAAUACCGCAUACCAUCAGAUGUGCCCAGAUGGGAUUAGCUAGUAGGUGGGGUAAUGGCUCACCUAGGCGACGAUCCCUAGCUGUUCUGAGAGGAUGACCAGCCAAACUGGAACGGGGAACCGGUCCAGACGCCUACGGGACGCAGGAGUGGGGAAUAUUGGCCAAUGGGCGCAAGCCUGAUGCAGCCAUGCCGCGUGUGUGAAGAAGGCCUUCGGGGUGUAAAGCACUUUCAGCGGGGAGGCGUUACCCGCAGAAGAAGCACCGGCUAACUCCGUGCCAGCAGCCGCGGUAAUAC
This 406-nucleotide ribosomal RNA is filed under the name uncultured bacterium. RNAcentral's name for it is "partial 16S ribosomal RNA". It matches the Rfam family "Bacterial small subunit ribosomal RNA", at positions 29 to 526 of the family's 1533-position model. The record is from RNAcentral.